This 492-nucleotide ribosomal RNA is filed under the name uncultured bacterium. RNAcentral's name for it is "partial 16S ribosomal RNA". It matches the Rfam family "Bacterial small subunit ribosomal RNA", at positions 29 to 507 of the family's 1533-position model. The record is from RNAcentral.
AGUGAACGCUGGCGGUAGGCCUAACACAUGCAAGUCGAACGGCAGCACAGUAAGAGCUUGCUCUUACGGGUGGCGAGUGGCGGACGGGUGAGGAAUACAUCGGAAUCUACUUUUUCGUGGGGGAUAACGUAGGGAAACUUACGCUAAUACCGCAUACGACCUACGGGUGAAAGCAGGGGAUCUUCGGACCUCGCGCGAUUGAAUGAGCCGAUGUCUGAUUAGCUAGUUGGCGGGGUAAAGGCCCACCCAGGCGACGAUCCGUACCUGGUCUGAGAGGAUGAUCAGCCACACUGGAACUGAGACACGGUCCAGACUCCUGCGGGAGGCCGCAGUGGGGAAUAUUGGACAAUGGGCGCAAGCCUGAUACAGCCAUACCGCGUGGGUGAAGAAGGCCUUCGGGUUGUAAAGCCCUUUUGUUGGGAAAUAAAAGCAGCAGGUUAAUACCCCGCUGUUCUGACGGUACCCAAAGAAUAAGCACCGGCUAACUUCGUG